CGGCGAGUGAAGCGGCAAAAGCUCAAAUUUGAAAUCUGGCCGCAAGGUCCGAGUUGUAAUUUGAAGAGGAAUGUUCGGCGAGACGCAGACCCGAGUCUUCUGGAAGGAAGCGCCACUGAGGGUGAGAGCCCCGUAGGGUCGGAAGUCGAGCCAUGUGAACGUCCUUCGAAGAGUCGAGUUGUUUGGGAAUGCAGCUCCAAGCGGGUGGUAAAUUCCAUCUAAAGCUAAAUACUGGCCAGAGACCGAUAGCGCACAAGUAGAGUGAUCGAAAGAUGAAAAGCACUUUGGAAAGAGAGUGAAACAGUACGUGAAAUUGUUGAAAGGGAAGCGCAAGCAAUCAGACUUGGGCGCCGGGUUCCGCCGUCCUUGUGGGCGGUGUACUCCCGUGCGCACGGGCCAGCAUCAGUUUUGGCGGCUGGAGAAAGGCGUGGGGAACGUAGCUCCUCCUCGGAGGAGUGUUAUAGCCCGUCGCAGAAUACAGCC
This 483-nucleotide ribosomal RNA is filed under the name Scolecobasidium sp. NH40. Its description in RNAcentral is "eukaryotic LSU rRNA". It matches the Rfam family "Eukaryotic large subunit ribosomal RNA", at positions 87 to 582 of the family's 3401-position model. Lineage: Eukaryota; Fungi; Ascomycota; Dothideomycetes; Venturiales; Sympoventuriaceae. The record is from RNAcentral.